This 741-nucleotide ribosomal RNA is filed under the name Triticum aestivum (bread wheat). Its description in RNAcentral is "partial small subunit ribosomal RNA". The record is from RNAcentral. Lineage: Eukaryota; Viridiplantae; Streptophyta; Magnoliopsida; Poales; Poaceae.
CUUGAGGUGGCCGCCUGGGACUCCCUCCUCCAAGACAUCGCCCUUAUGCCGAUGAACGUUGAGGAGGAUCAGGAUGCUGUCUCCUGGCACCUUGAGCCCUCUGGCCGUUUCUCUAUGAAGUCCCUGUACGGUGCAAUUGCGCCAUCGGCGGCCCCCGAACCCUUUAGCCUUAUCUCGGACAUCCGCCUACCACUGAAGAUCACGAUCUUCCUGUGGCAAUGGAUCCAUGGAAGCCUCCCUUCUGGGGUUGAAGUCCUCAAGCGUAAUGGCCAAGGCGAUGGGAUGUGCCCCAUCUGGGGCACGGUAGAGGAUGCUAACCACAUCUUUUUCUCGUGCCACUCGGCCCAGUUCCUUUGGGCCUGCUUCCGCGACCUGCUGGCGGACAGUGGUGUAAUACCAACUUUCCCGACCUGCUGGCGGAGCUCAACGCAUCCCCCUCUUGCUAUCGCCAUAUUAGAUGGUUGUGCGUGGGGGUCCUUGCCUGGACGCUUUGGAACAUUCGCAAUAAGCUUGUUAUUCAGAAGGUCCCCCUCCGACGUGCGACUGACGCUAUCUUCAAAUUGUGUGGUUACCUGCAGCUUUGGCGGCCGCUUAGCCGCCCCCAGGACCGGGACGUCAUCACCACCCUCCUCUCCAAUCCCCGCUCGAUGGCACUCCAUGUGGCUCCCCCGAUGCCACCUCCACCCCCUGAGGCUGACUAGUUCUCCUGGCGGCUUUGUGGUGUGUGUAUUUUGUGUUUAG